GCACUAUUGGAAUGCUUUUUGUCUUCACAGACAGUAUGCAAAAGAUACGACAUUCUAAGAGAGUCAGAAGCUGGACUCCUGGAGACAGACGAAUCCCCUGAAAUCAAAGUAGCCCAAGAAUUUGCCAGUCAAAAUGAAAAACUUCUAAUGGAAUCCAGCUUGAAAGCUACUCAAGAGCAGCUAACUGAGCAAAUAGCAGAAACAGUUCGCCAAGAACAGAACAGUAGAAAACUCAAGGCAGAGCUGAAGACAGUGACAGAAGAGAUUAUUGCUUCUGGAGAAGAAAAAAAAAUGAUUACAAUGGAAAGACUAAAAAGUUAUGAGAAGAAAAGUGCCAGAAAGAAAAUUGCAUGUGCAUAGAAGUGUGUGACUACAUGGAAAG
This 382-nucleotide long non-coding RNA is filed under the name Fukomys damarensis (Damara mole-rat). RNAcentral describes it as "lncRNA (ENSFDAG00000022686.1)". The record is from RNAcentral. Lineage: Eukaryota; Metazoa; Chordata; Mammalia; Rodentia; Bathyergidae.